CUUAAGAACCCCCAAAUUGAUAUAAUUUGAGAAAAAAAUUAUCGACUCCUCAAGAGCAUACAACACACAGAUACAUCAAAGUUAUUGGUUUUUGCACAUGAAACUAGUGAGUCAAACAAGAAUAUAUCAGGUCAUUAGAGCCCUGCUAAUGAAUUAGAAUUCAUUUGAAUACACUUGGCAACCUCCAAAAUAAACUAAAAGUCCAAACAUACGAUUACAAAAAACUACAUAACAUUUACUGAAAUUAUACCAAGCUCAAUUAAAACUGUAGACAAACUAAUUGAUAAACAUCGAGCCAUAACAAGACUAUCAGGAUCAAACUUUAAAAUGAGGCUGAAAUUUUGACAUGGGAGCACCAUCUUUCAUUCAACAUUCACAUUUCACUGCAAGGAUUCGAAAAUGUACUUGGAUACAAUCAAAAAUAGCUAUAGAACUUCAGAAGAAGGUGAGAUCAGCAGUAGUUAACAGCAGAACCUCAGUUUCAAUUCACAUUUGGAAUCCAAGAAAACAGCAAAAUAUUAGACCCUUUUUCAAUCCCAAAAAAAUCAGCCAACGUAUAGUGUUUCCAAGCAAAAAACAAACCUAGAAAUUUCAAAACAAACCAUUGUUCGAACUAUCUCAAUCCAGAAUGAGAAUUUAUGAUUUUUCAGAUGUUUCUUCAAGGAAUUUUAACUAAUGGAAGGAUUAGAAGUUUCCAAUCUACUCAGAAUUUUGAAAAAAACUCCAGUUGUUUCAGCUUUUUAGACUUUUUAUCCUUCUUUUUCUACCAUGAAUACCAAAAUAAGGUGCCUUUAUAGGCAAGGCAUUUAGGGCUGUAGAAUGCCACUAGUUUUGCACUUUGCACCUUUCAGUAUUUUCAUUUUAGCUUAGAAACCCUUAGUCAAUUUUUGUUUUUGCUCAAAUACACUUAGUUCAAAUAUCAAAAUUUCAGAAUAAUCCCCAUCCCACCUUCCAGGAAACUUUCCCAGUUAGUUUACAAGAUUAUUUCACCUAAAUCCCCUAAACUAUCCCUUAAACUACAUGUUUUUACCUUUAACCUACCAAAAGAGUCAAGUUAACCCAAGUUCUUUGGGUUGCUGUGUUGGCAAGUUCUAUGGCCUUUGGGCUUCUGAACCCUUGAAGCUCGACUUGUGAUCAAAAACCACAGGCCACAAAUAAGUGAGCCCAGCAAUUCUGCCAAUUUUGGCAUCAAAAGAAAAAUGAAUAGAGCAGGACAAAAGACGAAAUGCAAAUGAUAAACAGGCAAGCAAAAAAAUAAAAAAAAAUCAAAAAAUACUAACGAAGAAAAUAUUAAUUACACUAAUAUGUUGAUAAUUACUAAUAUGACUUAAAUUUAAAAUAUGCAACAUAUAUCAACUCGAACUAGCAAAAGAAGAAGAACGACAUGUGAAGAAAAUGACAGAUGUAACUUGAAAUGCAUGCAAAGAAUGACAGAAAAGAUAAUAGAUAAAAGAGGAAGAAGACAGAAGAAGAUGAACACGGAAAAACAACACAAAAAUGAUGGGAAUCAAAAAAAUACCUAGAAUAGUAGACAACAAGAAGACGGCUUGAACGGACUUCCAUUCUGAUUUCGAGCCAAAGUUGGUGUUUCUCAAAAGGUUCUUGCCAAAAACCAAUGAGAAACAUCAAUUUAGGCCUUAAACGGUCUUUGAAGCUUGAAGAAAUCGAGAGAUUUUUGGUUGUCAUUUUUUUCUACCUCUUUAGAUCUAAAAUUGGCUUAACUUUGUGAUGAUUUGAGGAUUAUUGAUGGUGGAUUUGAAAAUGGGAAGCCAUGGGGUUAUUGUGGUUGAGGUUUGGGACUGAUUGAAGGAGGUUCCGCUGGUGAAAAUGGCGAAUAUCCUCGAGGCGGCGCUAGGGUUAUCUAUGACAGAGAUGAUAGAGAUGGACGGAGGGGGGUUUUGUCUGGACUAAGCUGUUUCUGCAGAUCUUAGGACGGUUUUAAUUGAAAUGAUGAAAGUGUUUUCCACAGUUGGAUGAAUUGAGAUGAAGGGCUCGUAUUAUUUUAAGACUGGGGAACUCUAAAU
RNAcentral lists this long non-coding RNA (2024 nucleotides) under Nicotiana benthamiana. RNAcentral's name for it is "long non-coding RNA (NBEN_LNC006369)". Lineage: Eukaryota; Viridiplantae; Streptophyta; Magnoliopsida; Solanales; Solanaceae. The record is from RNAcentral.